GGAAGAGUGGCUCAGUGGUAGAGUGCUUGCCUUGCAUGCAUGAGACCCUGGGUUCUUUUCCU
Molecule: transfer RNA, 62 nt
Filed under: Dipodomys ordii (Ord's kangaroo rat)
Lineage: Eukaryota; Metazoa; Chordata; Mammalia; Rodentia; Heteromyidae
Rfam family: tRNA
About the family: Transfer RNA (tRNA) molecules are approximately 80 nucleotides in length.
Source: Rfam by way of RNAcentral